This 253-nucleotide ribosomal RNA is filed under the name uncultured bacterium. RNAcentral describes it as "partial 16S ribosomal RNA". It matches the Rfam family "Bacterial small subunit ribosomal RNA", at positions 524 to 776 of the family's 1533-position model. The record is from RNAcentral.
UACGGAGGGUGCAAGCGUUGUCCGGAAUCACUGGGCGUAAAGGGCGCGUAGGCGGUCUGUCGCGUCUGCUGUGAAAACUCGGGGCUUAACCCCGGGCCUGCAGUGGGUACGGGCAGACUAGAGUGCGGUAGGGGAGACUGGAAUUCCUGGUGUAGCGGUGAAAUGCGCAGAUAUCAGGAAGAACACCCGUGGCUAAGGCGGCUCUCUAGUACGGUACUGACGCUGAGACGCGAAAGCGUGGGGAGCGAACAGG